Molecule: ribosomal RNA, 1314 nt
Filed under: unidentified marine bacterioplankton
Lineage: Bacteria
Description: bacterial SSU rRNA
Rfam family: Bacterial small subunit ribosomal RNA
Source: RNAcentral
GAGUUUGAUCAUGGCUCAGGAUGAACGCUGGCGGCGUGCUUAACACAUGCAAGUCGAACGAACCUUCGGGUUAGUGGCGGACGGGUGAGUAACGCGUGAGAAUCUGCCCUCAGGAGGGGGAUAACGGUUGGAAACGACCGCUAAUACCCCAUAUGCCGAGAGGUGAAAUGAAUUUCGCCUGAGGAUGAGCUCGCGUCUGAUUAGUUAGUUGGUGGGGUAAUGGCCUACCAAGACGUCGAUCAGUAGCUGGUCUGAGAGGAUGAUCAGCCACACUGGGACUGAGACACGGCCCAGACUCCUACGGGAGGCAGCAGUGGGGAAUUUUCCGCAAUGGGCGAAAGCCUGACGGAGCAACGCCGCGUGAGGGAUGAAGGCCUCUGGGCUGUAAACCUCUUUUAUCAAGGAAGAAGAUCUGACGGUACUUGAUGAAUAAGCCACGGCUAAUUCCGUGCCAGCAGCCGCGGUAAUACGGGAGUGGCAAGCGUUAUCCGGAAUUAUUGGGCGUAAAGCGUCCGCAGGCGGUCUGUCAAGUCUGCUGUUAAAGCGUGGAGCUUAACUCCAUUUCGGCAGUGGAAACUGACAGACUAGAGUGUGGUAGGGGCAGAGGGAAUUCCCGGUGUAGCGGUGAAAUGCGUAGAUAUCGGGAAGAACACCAGUGGCGAAGGCGCUCUGCUGGGCCAUAACUGACGCUCAUGGACGAAAGCCAGGGGAGCGAAAGGGAUUAGAUACCCCUGUAGUCCUGGCCGUAAACGAUGAACACUAGGUGUCGGGGGAAUCGACCCCCUCGGUGUCGUAGCCAACGCGUUAAGUGUUCCGCCUGGGGAGUACGCACGCAAGUGUGAAACUCAAAGGAAUUGACGGGGGCCCGCACAAGCGGUGGAGUAUGUGGUUUAAUUCGAUGCAACGCGAAGAACCUUACCAGGGUUUGACAUCCUGCGAAUCUCUUGGAAACGAGAGAGUGCCUUCGGGAACGCAGUGACAGGUGGUGCAUGGCUGUCGUCAGCUCGUGUCGUGAGAUGUUGGGUUAAGUCCCGCAACGAGCGCAACCCACGUCGUUAGUUGCCAGCAUUUAGUUGGGCACUCUAGCGAGACCGCCGGUGAUAAACCGGAGGAAGGUGUGGAUGACGUCAAGUCAUCAUGCCCCUUACAUCCUGGGCUACACACGUACUACAAUGCUACGGACAAAGGGCAGCAAACUCGCGAGAGCUAGCAAAUCCCAUAAACCGUGGCUCAGUUCAGAUCGUAGGCUGCAACUCGCCUACGUGAAGGAGGAAUCGCUAGUAAUCGCAGGUCAGCAUACUGCGGUGAAUACGU